GAUGAACGCUGGCGGCGUGCCUAAUACAUGCGAGUCGAGCGAACGGACGAGAAGCUUGCUUCUCUGAUGUUAGCGGCGGACGGGUGAGUAACACGUGGAUAACCUACCUAUAAGACUGGGAUAACUUCGGGAAACCGGAGCUAAUACCGGAUGAUAUUUUGAACCGCAUGGUUCAAAAGUGAAAGACGGUCUUGCUGUCACUUAUAGAUGGAUCCGCGCUGCAUUAGCUAGUUGGUAAGGUAACGGCUUACCAAGGAAACGAUGCAUAGCCGACCUGAGAGGGUGAUCGGCCACACUGGAACUGAGACACGGUCCAGACUCCUACGGGAGGCAGCAGUAGGGAAUCUUCCGCAAUGGGCGAAAGCCUGACGGAGCAACGCCGCGUGAGUGAUGAAGGUCUUCGGAUCGUAAAACUCUGUUAUUAGGGAAGAACAUAUGUGUAAGUAACUGUGCACAUCUUGACGGUACCUAAUCAGAAAGCCACGGCUAACUACGUG
RNAcentral lists this ribosomal RNA (497 nucleotides) under uncultured bacterium. RNAcentral describes it as "partial 16S ribosomal RNA". It matches the Rfam family "Bacterial small subunit ribosomal RNA", at positions 28 to 507 of the family's 1533-position model. The record is from RNAcentral.